UACGAAGGGUGCAAGCGUUAUCCGGAUUCACUGGGUUUAAAGGGUGCGUAGGUGGGCAGUUAAGUCAGUGGUGAAAUCUCCGGGCUCAACCCGGAAACUGCCAUUGAUACUAUCUGUCUUGAAUAUCGUGGAGGUAAGCGGAAUAUGUCAUGUAGCGGUGAAAUGCUUAGAUAUGACAUAGAACACCAAUUGCGAAGGCAGCUUACUACCCGAAUAUUGACACUGAGGCACGAAAGCGUGGGGAUCAAACAGG
Molecule: ribosomal RNA, 253 nt
Filed under: uncultured bacterium
Lineage: Bacteria
Description: partial 16S ribosomal RNA
Rfam family: Bacterial small subunit ribosomal RNA
Source: RNAcentral